CCUACGGGAGGCAGCAGUGAGGAAUAUUGGUCAAUGGACGCGAGUCUGAACCAGCCAAGUAGCGUGAAGGAUGACUGCCCUAUGGGUUGUAAACUUCUUUUGUAUGGGAAUAAAAUGGUCCACGUGUGGGCUUUUGUGUGUACCCGAUGAAAAAGGAUCGGCUAACUCCGUGCCAGCAGCCGCGGUAAUACGGAGGAUGCGAGCGUUAUCCGGAUUUAUUGGGUUUAAAGGGAGCGUAGGUGGAAUGUUAAGUCAGCUGUGAAAGUUUGCGGCUCAACCGUUAAAUUGCAGUUGAAACUGGGAGUCUUGAGUACAGUAGAGGUAGGCGGAAGUCGUGGUGUAGCGGUGAAAUGCUUAGAUAUCACGAAGAACUCCGAUUGCGAAGGCAGCUCACUGGAGUGCAACUGACGCUGAGGCUCGAAAGUGUGGGUAUCAAACAGGAUUAGAUACCCGAGUAGUC
Molecule: ribosomal RNA, 460 nt
Filed under: uncultured bacterium
Lineage: Bacteria
Description: partial 16S ribosomal RNA
Rfam family: Bacterial small subunit ribosomal RNA
Source: RNAcentral